AUUGAACGCUGGCUGCAUGCUUAACACAUGCAAGUCGAACGAGAAAGUACCUUCGGGUGCGAGUACAGUGGCGGACGGGUGAGUAAUGCAUAGGAAUCUGCCCAGUAGUGGGGGACAACUCGGGGAAACUCGAGCUAAUACCGCAUAUUUCCUAAGGGAGAAAGACUUCGGUCGCUAUUGGAUGAGCCUAUGUCAGAUUAGCUUGCUGGUAGGGUAAUGGCCUACCAAGGCUACGAUCUGUAGCUGGUCUGAGAGGAUGAUCAGCCACACUGGGACUGAGACACGGACCAG
Molecule: ribosomal RNA, 291 nt
Filed under: uncultured bacterium
Lineage: Bacteria
Description: partial 16S ribosomal RNA
Rfam family: Bacterial small subunit ribosomal RNA
Source: RNAcentral